CGGCCGCGUCGACGGCGAACGGGUGAGUAACACGUGAGUAACCUGCCCCCUUCUUCGGGAUAACGGUCUGAAAGGGCUGCUAAUACCGGGUAUUCACUGGUCUCCGCAUGGGGGCUGGUGGAAAGGUUGUUUUUCUGGUGGGGGAUGGGCUCGCGGCCUAUCAGCUUGUUGGUGGGGUGAUGGCCCACCAAGGCUUUGACGGGUAGCCGGCCUGAGAGGGUGACCGGUCACAUUGGGACUGAGAUACGGCCCAGACUCCUACGGGAGGCAGCAGUGGGGAAUAUUGCACAAUGGGCGCAAGCCUGAUGCAGCGACGCCGCGUGAGGGAUGGAGGCCUUCGGGUUGUGAACCUCUUUCGCCCGUGGUCAAGCCGCGACGUGGGUCGUGGUGAGGGUAGUGGGUAAAGAAGCGCCGGCUAACUACGUGCCAGCAGCCGCGGUAAUACGUAGGGCGCGAGCGUUGCCCGGAAUUAUUGGGCGUAAAGGGCUUGUAGGCGGCUGGUCGCGUCUGCCGUGAAAUCCUCUGGCUCGAACUGGGGCGUGCGGUGGUACGGGCUGGCUUGG
RNAcentral lists this ribosomal RNA (563 nucleotides) under uncultured Actinomyces sp. Its description in RNAcentral is "bacterial SSU rRNA". It matches the Rfam family "Bacterial small subunit ribosomal RNA", at positions 84 to 645 of the family's 1533-position model. Lineage: Bacteria; Bacillati; Actinomycetota; Actinomycetes; Actinomycetales; Actinomycetaceae. The record is from RNAcentral.